This 253-nucleotide ribosomal RNA is filed under the name uncultured prokaryote. RNAcentral's name for it is "partial 16S ribosomal RNA". It matches the Rfam family "Bacterial small subunit ribosomal RNA", at positions 524 to 776 of the family's 1533-position model. The record is from RNAcentral.
UACGGAGGGUCCGAGCGUUAUCCGGAAUCAUUGGGUUUAAAGGGUCCGUAGGCGGUUUAAUAAGUCAGUGGUGAAAUCUGGUCGCUCAACGAUCAAACGGCCAUUGAUACUGUUAGACUUGAAUUAUUGUGAAGUAACUAGAAUAUGUAGUGUAGCGGUGAAAUGCUUAGAUAUUACAUGGAAUACCAAUUGCGAAGGCAGGUUACUAACAAUACAUUGACGCUGAUGGACGAAAGCGUGGGGAGCGAACAGG